GGUUACUGCUAUCGGUGUUCGUCUAAGCCAUGCGAGUCAUAUGUAGCAAUACAUGGCGUACUGCUCAGUAACACGUGGAUAACCUGCCCUUGGGUCCGGCAUAACCCCGGGAAACUGGGGAUAAUUCCGGAUAACGCACAUAUGCUGGAAUGCUUUAUGCGUGAAAUGGAUUCGUCUGCCCAAGGAUGGGUCUGCGGCCUAUCAGGUAGUAGUGGGUGUAAUGUACCUACUAGCCUACGACGGGUACGGGUUGUGAGAGCAAGAGCCCGGAGAUGGAUUCUGAGACAUGAAUCCAGGCCCUACGGGACGCAGCAGGCGCGAAAACUUUACAAUGCGGGAAACCGUGAUAAGGGGACACCGAGUGCCAGCAUCCUAUGCUGGCUGUCCAGGUGUGUAAACUACACCUGUUAGCAAGGGCCGGGCAAGACCGGUGCCAGCCGCCGCGGUAACACCGGCGGCCCGAGUGGUGAUCGUGAUUAUUGGGUCUAAAGGGUCCGUAGCCGGUUUGGUCAGUCCUCCGGGAAAUCUGACAGCUUAACUGUUAGGCUUUCGGAGGAUACUGCCAGACUUGGAACCGGGAGAGGUAAGAGGUACUACAGGGGUAGGAGUGAAAUCUUGUAAUCCCUGUGGGACCACCUGUGGCGAAGGCGUCUUACCAGAACGGGUUCGACGGUGAGGGACGAAAGCUGGGGGCACGAACCGGAUUAGAUACCCGGGUAGUCCCAGCCGUAAACGAUGCUCGCUAGGUGUCAGGCAUGGCGCGACCGUGUCUGGUGCCGCAGGGAAGCCGUGAAGCGAGCCACCUGGGAAGUACGGCCGCAAGGCUGAAACUUAA
RNAcentral lists this ribosomal RNA (835 nucleotides) under uncultured archaeon. Its description in RNAcentral is "bacterial SSU rRNA". It matches the Rfam family "Archaeal small subunit ribosomal RNA", at positions 21 to 859 of the family's 1478-position model. The record is from RNAcentral.